RNAcentral lists this ribosomal RNA (165 nucleotides) under uncultured bacterium. RNAcentral describes it as "partial 16S rRNA". It matches the Rfam family "Bacterial small subunit ribosomal RNA", at positions 355 to 511 of the family's 1533-position model. The record is from RNAcentral.
UAGGGAAUCUUCGGCAAUGGGGGCAACCCUGACCGAGCAACGCCGCGUGAGUGAAGAAGGUUUUCGGAUCGUAAAGCUCUGUUGUAAGAGAAGAACGUGUGUGAGAGUGGAAAGUUCACACAGUGACGGUAACUUACUAGAAAGGGACGGCUAACUACGCGCCAG